AGUGAACGCUGGCGGUAGGCCUAACACAUGCAAGUCGAACGGCAGCACAGUAAGAGCUUGCUCUUACGGGUGGCGAGUGGCGGACGGGUGAGGAAUACAUCGGAAUCUACUUUUUCGUGGGGGAUAACGUAGGGAAACUUACGCUAAUACCGCAUAUGACCUACGGGUGAAAGCAGGGGAUCUUCGGACCUUGCGCGAUUGAAUGAGCCGAUGUCGGAUUAGCUAGUUGGCGGGGUAAAGGCCCACCAAGGCGACGAUCCGUAGCUGGUCUGAGAGGAUGAUCAGCCACACUGGAACUGAGACACGGUCCAGACUCCAACGGGAGGCAGCAGUGGGGAAUAUUGGACAAAGGGCGCAAGCCUGAUCCAGCCAUACCGCGUGGGUGAAGAAGGCCUUCGGGUUGUAAAGCCCUUUUGUUGGGAAAGAAAAGCAGCAGGUUAAUACCCCGCUGUUCUGACGGUACCCAAAGAAUAAGCACCGGCUAACUUCGUG
RNAcentral lists this ribosomal RNA (492 nucleotides) under uncultured bacterium. Its description in RNAcentral is "partial 16S ribosomal RNA". It matches the Rfam family "Bacterial small subunit ribosomal RNA", at positions 29 to 507 of the family's 1533-position model. The record is from RNAcentral.